This 67-nucleotide transfer RNA is filed under the name Bathymodiolus septemdierum. Its description in RNAcentral is "tRNA-Leu". Lineage: Eukaryota; Metazoa; Mollusca; Bivalvia; Mytilida; Modiolidae. The record is from RNAcentral. RNAcentral also lists the same sequence under 1 other name.
GAUGGGGUGGCAGAGUUUAAUGCGGCAAGUUUAAGCCUUGUGUAUGAAGUUUUAACUUCCCUUAUUU